AACGAACGCUGGCGGCAGGCUUAACACAUGCAAGUCGAGCGCCCCGCAAGGGGAGCGGCAGACGGGUGAGUAACGCGUGGGAAUCUACCCAGUUCUACGGAAUAACACAGGGGAAACUUGUGCUAAUACCGUAUACGCCUACGGGGAAAGAUUUAUCGGAAUUGGAUGAGCCCGCGUUGGAUUAGCUAGUUGGUGGGGUAAUGGCCUACCAAGGCGACGAUCCAUAGCUGGUCUGAGAGGAUGAUCAGCCACACUGGGACUGAGACACGGCCCAGACUCCUACGGGAGGCAGCAGUGGGGAAUAUUGGACAAUGGGCGAAAGCCUGAUCCAGCCAUGCCGCGUGAGUGAUGAA
Molecule: ribosomal RNA, 353 nt
Filed under: uncultured bacterium
Lineage: Bacteria
Description: bacterial SSU rRNA
Rfam family: Bacterial small subunit ribosomal RNA
Source: RNAcentral